GCAUGAGUGCAUAGCAGGAAUUACAAGCUUAUUUUCCAAAUUAAACCAAAAAAAAGAGAAAUACAUGAUUAUUUAUUCAAAGUGAUACUAAAAAAUACCUUCAAAUAGGGUAAUACACAGUUUAUUUAUCACUAAAUAGUUGCCAAAUAUGCUUGACUAGAUCCUUCUUAAGUUCAAGAUGUGGUCGAGCUUCAACGGCAGAAUUUCUGUGCAGUACAUCCGACAUCACUGAAGGGAAUGUUUCUGUGUAGUACAUCCGACAUCAGUGAAGGGAAUGUUACGACGGCUACAUGUGGAUGUAAAAAGAUGGAAGUCUUUGCAGCUGAACUUAAAUCUAAAGGAGUGAAAACCAUUUCUUUUUCAUCUUCAACUAUCAUGUUGUGAAGUAUAACACAAGCUUUCAUGAUUAUUGUGAUAUUACGACAGAACAUUUGUUUCCAUAGCCGCGUUGGACGGCGCACGAUAUUAAAUCGAGACUACAAUACACCAAAAGCUCUCUUAACAUCAUUCCUUGCUCCUCCUAAUACUUUGUAAAUAAUUUGUACUUUUCUGUUUGUGGGAGAGAUAUAGUCUUCACAAAAACUACCCAUUCAGGGUAAAUUCCGCUCGCAAGAUGUGGUGACUGAUUUAGCACAUUUAUAUCAUUGUUGGAUUAACAACCCUAAAAAAGACACGUCAUAUCCGUAAAUCUUGCGAAGCAAUAGACUCAAGAAUUAUAGUUGAGACACCAAUAUCACCGCAGGGGCCUCUCUAUUGAAUAGCGCAAUUGUCCCAUUGCUAAUACAUACAGACAAUGCUCCUAGUAAAUCCACAAGCCUCACCGACAUCAAAGUAAAUGCUCUACUUCAUCACAAGUGAGGUGUCGCAAAUACUCUCCUCCAAAAAUCUCUAUCACCCCUCAUGCAAACAUAUCCAAGCACUCUAAUGAUGUGCUUGCAGCUAUCUUUAGUACCUUAUCGAGUUCAUCAGCGGGAGUGUCAUAUGCUAGCAUACGGAUAGCUGUUGUACACUUUUGUAGCGUUGAAUGUUCUAGUUUACCUGUGGCAUCUACUCUAAGUGUGAAACAGGGACUCCACUCCUCUAGAGCACUAACUAUUCAUAACAAUAAGGCUUUUCUUGUUCGAAACCUUCUACAAAACAUUUCAUCGUUACAUAGAGGAUAUUUAGAAAAGUAGUUGCGUACCAAUUCUUUAUGAGCAACUUCAUGAUCCUUAUUUAUAUACCUUCUAGAACCACUCUGACGUUUAGAACUUUGACCUAGUAGAUUACUCUGCAACCUUGCACAUAUCCAUGCACCAAUUCUAUCAAAAACUUCUUCCUCGGCUAUGAAGCCUUUCAUUGUGUAGAUCUCAGCUGGGUCGAUAGUGUUGUCUUCAUUUCGUCUGAACAAGAUGAUGAUCUAUAAUUCAUGUCUUCAGAACAAGACAUUGUAGUAGACCAGAAUUGGUUUACUAGUUGGCACUAUUGAGAAUUAGAAGUGAG
RNAcentral lists this long non-coding RNA (1482 nucleotides) under Oryza brachyantha (malo sina). Its description in RNAcentral is "long non-coding RNA (OBRA_LNC002225)". Lineage: Eukaryota; Viridiplantae; Streptophyta; Magnoliopsida; Poales; Poaceae. The record is from RNAcentral.